Molecule: ribosomal RNA, 305 nt
Filed under: uncultured bacterium
Lineage: Bacteria
Description: bacterial SSU rRNA
Rfam family: Bacterial small subunit ribosomal RNA
Source: RNAcentral
CUACGGGAGGCAGCAGUAGGGAAUUUUCGUCAAUGGGCGCAAGCCUGAACGAGCAAUGCCGCGUGAACGAGGAAGGUCUUCGGAUCGUAGAGUUCUGUUGAAGGGGAAAAAGAGCGGAGAGAGGAAAUGGUCUCCGAUUGAUAUUACCCUUCGAGGAAGUCACGGCUAACUACGUGCCAGCAGCCGCGGUAAUACGUAGGUGGCGAGCGUUAUCCGGAAUGAUUGGGCGUAAAGGGUGCGUAGGCGGCCUGCUAAGUCUGGAGUGAAAGGUACCGGCUCAACCGGUACAGGCUCUGGAAACUGGG